ACCAGCGUGGUGUAGUGGUUUGAACAUUGGACUACAACUCUGAAGAUCAAGGUUCAAUUCCCUGCUCAACUA
Molecule: non-coding RNA, 72 nt
Organism: Phrynosoma platyrhinos (Desert horned lizard)
Lineage: Eukaryota; Metazoa; Chordata; Lepidosauria; Squamata; Phrynosomatidae
Source: the annotation of a GenBank genome assembly